AGUAGUUGGUGAUGGUGGCAGUAUAUCCAGGGGAAAAAUACGUUCUUUAAAAGCACGCCAACUGAAAUUCAAAGUAUAUAAUUUGAAAGUUAAUACCUUUAUUGUUUUCUUAUUAAUCUUGCAGCUCUGCAAGGUUUGAAGGGUCCCUUAAUAUGGACCUUAAUGAAAUCAGCAUGAAUUUAGUUCCUUUUCCUCAACUUCAUUAUCUUACAUCAAGCCUGACCCCUCUGUAUACACUGGCAGAUGUCAACAUUCCUCCUCGCAGGUUGGAUCAGAUGUUUUCAGAUGCCUUCAGCAAAGAUCACCAGCUAAUUCGAGGAGACCCCAGACACAGUCUAUACCUUGCCUGUGCCCUCAUGGUUAGAGGAAAUGUACAGAUUUCAGAUCUUCGUCGAAAUAUUGAAAGAUUAAAACCUGCCCUGCAGUUUGUCUCCUGGAAUCAAGAAGGCUGGAAGACCAGCCUGUGUUCAGUACCUCCUGUGGGCCACUCGCAUUCAUUAUUAGCUUUAGCAAAUAACACAUGCGUGAAACCUACCUUCAUGGAGCUGAGAGACAGGUUCAUGAGGCUGUACAAGAAAAAGGCUCAUCUCCAUCACUAUCUCCAAGUCGAAGGGAUGGAGGAAAGCUGUUUCUCAGAGGCCGUGUUGUCUUUGUCAGCGCUCAUACAGGAGUAUAACCAACUGGACACUACACGGAGCAUGCCAGUGCAGGACGUACCACGGCUAAGCGUAGCUGUGUGACAAAGAGCCAAAAACAUACUGCCCUUCCUUUUUCCUAAUUUCAGUUUCCCUCACCUUCCUGCUGCCGCAUGCUUGUGACUCAGAAAGCCCAGUUGGUUUUUAUAUUAGCAGGAAGCACUUUUGUCUUGAAGAGGGCUUCCUGUUAGAUCACAGCUUGUUGAUAAUACUUGCAUGUGAAAUGGGUGGAAGCUUACCACCUUCACCCCAAAUUGUGUCACAAAUUCAGAGAACAGAUUUCCUGAUCAAUAUGCUUUAUUGAUAACCUUGUAUUUAGAUUUUUAUACACAAAUAAUCUUGUCUUUUAUUUUUAAAAAGUUUACAAUUCUAUUUUUAUAUUUAUUUAUAACUUAUUUUGUGCUUCCACUAACUUUUCAGGGUUUUUUUUCCCUUUGUACUCAAAAGAGUCAUAAUUUAGAUAUUGUGUAUUUGUACUAAAUUAUUUUUAAAUAGCUAUCUUGUCAAAAUCACUUGAUUUUGUAAUAAACAGUUUUAAAAGAUGUUAAGCAAUGCCACUUGUUACUAUUGUUUUGAAUGCCAUCAUUUAUAUAAAUGAACAGAACACUACUAAUCUUAAUCCCUCUUUCAACUUUAUCAUGAAAUUGUUCCAGUUAAUACUUAGACACAUUAGGUUCAUUUACCUUAUAAGGGAAUAAAUUUUAGAAAAAAAAUUAUUUUAAGUUUGUUUCCUUUGCAAAAUAAUGAUACUGUUCUUGGUCUUUACUUGGAAAUUUAGUUUAUUAUUUGUUAUAAAAAAAAAAGUCCAGAUCAUAGAUGUCAAGAGUAAUCAAGAAGUCCAUUCUUUCCUUCCCAGAAGAAAUCUUAACUGAUAUUCAGGAUAUAUACCAUAGAUAGAUAGAUAGAUAGAUAGAUAGAUAGAUAGAUAGAUAGAUAGAUAGAUAGAUAGA
RNA transcript from Dipodomys ordii (Ord's kangaroo rat), 1645 nucleotides. It is a transcript of the gene named tubulin epsilon chain-like, with no coding region annotated. The record is from RefSeq and is a predicted model, not a curated record. NCBI's taxonomy places the organism in Eukaryota, Metazoa, Chordata, Mammalia, Rodentia, Heteromyidae. The transcript is spliced from 5 exons.